UACGUAGGGGGCAAGCGUUGUCCGGAUUUAUUGGGCGUAAAGAGCGUGUAGGCGGUCCGGUAAGUCGGGUGUGAAAGCCCCGGGCUCAACCUGGGAAUUGCAUUCGAGACUGAAUAGCUAGGGUACGGUAGAGGGAAGCGGAAUUUCCGGUGUAGCGGUGAAAUGCGUAGAUAUCGGAAGGAACAUCAGUGGCGAAAGCGGCUUCCUGGACCAGUACCGACGUUCAGGCACGAAAGCGUGGGGAGCAAACAGG
Molecule: ribosomal RNA, 253 nt
Filed under: uncultured bacterium
Lineage: Bacteria
Description: partial 16S ribosomal RNA
Rfam family: Bacterial small subunit ribosomal RNA
Source: RNAcentral